UAUUCAAUUUGGAAAUGUAACAAAUUAAAAAAAUGGGGAAAAUAGUUCUGGUCACAAGUAGGCUGGUGAACUUUUGACCAUGUAUGGGCUCUUGAAUAUACUACGUUCAUGUCAAUAUUUAUCAGUUCUACUCAGUCCUAAGGGUCCUUCAACAGAAGAUAGCAUUGGAGUAACAAGGUGAAAUAAAGCAAUCAAAGUUAAAACCACUAAAUAGUAUUUGAACAUUUCUUUCAGCUAACAAAUGCGUUCAAUAAAAAAUCAUUUGCAUAACAACCAAAAAUUUUGUUCAAAAUUUGAAAGAGAUAUAAAAUAACAGCCACAAGCCCUGAUUUUACAAUGCCACAUGUUGUAAUGGAGGGAGAUUUUCCCUCCAAGCACAAAAUUCAUCCCUUUCUCACUUAACACCCCUGCCAUUACAUUGCUAUCAUGUUGUAUUUUUAGUAUUCAAUUUGGAAA
Non-coding RNA from Biomphalaria pfeifferi, 456 nucleotides. NCBI's taxonomy places the organism in Eukaryota, Metazoa, Mollusca, Gastropoda, Planorbidae. The record is from the annotation of a GenBank genome assembly.